Molecule: ribosomal RNA, 253 nt
Filed under: uncultured bacterium
Lineage: Bacteria
Description: partial 16S ribosomal RNA
Rfam family: Bacterial small subunit ribosomal RNA
Source: RNAcentral
GACAGAGGGGGCAAGCGUUGUUCGGAAUUACUGGGCGUAAAGGGCGCGUAGGCGGCCUUCUAAGUCGAACGUGAAAUCCCCGGGCUCAACCCGGGAACUGCGUCCGAUACUGGAAGGCUUGAAUCCGGGAGAGGGAUGUGGAAUUCCAGGUGUAGCGGUGAAAUGCGUAGAUAUCUGGAGGAACACCGGUGGCGAAGGCGACAUCCUGGACCGGUAUUGACGCUGAGGCGCGAAAGCCAGGGGAGCAAACGGG